This 496-nucleotide ribosomal RNA is filed under the name uncultured bacterium. Its description in RNAcentral is "partial 16S ribosomal RNA". It matches the Rfam family "Bacterial small subunit ribosomal RNA", at positions 28 to 507 of the family's 1533-position model. The record is from RNAcentral.
GACGAACGCUGGCGGCGUGCCUAACACAUGCAAGUCGAACGGACAAAGCCUACCUUUCUCCUCGGUGUUAGUGGCGAACGGGUGAGUAACACGUGGGUAACCUGCCUGUAAGACUGGGAUAACUUCAGGAAACCGGAGCUAAUACCGGAUAAUACUUCUUAACUCAUGUUCGGGAGCUGAAAGAUUCUUUCGUCUAUCACUUACAGACGGGCUCGCGGCGCAUUAGCUAGUUGGUGAGGUAACGGCUCAUCAAGGCAGCGCUGCGUAGCCGACAUGAGAGGGUGAUCAGCCGCACUGGGACUGAGACACGGCCCAGAGGCAUACGGGAGGCAGCCGUAGGGAAUCUUCUGCAAGGGGUGGAAGUCUGACGGCACAACGCCGAGUGAGUGAUGAAGGUCUUCGGAUCGGAAAACUCUGUUGUUAGGGAAGAACCCGUACCGGAGUAACUGGCGGUACCUUGACGGUAACUAAGCAGAAAGCCACGGCUAACUACGUG